This is a long non-coding RNA of Ictalurus punctatus (channel catfish), 1172 nucleotides long. The record is from Ensembl. NCBI's taxonomy places the organism in Eukaryota, Metazoa, Chordata, Actinopteri, Siluriformes, Ictaluridae.
UGUUAUGGCACUCGAGUUACAGCAGUUCCUCUUCAGGAGAGACAUCUUAUCGAUUCUGAUCUCAAUAUUGAUCUUCCUGUUCCCGCUGCUAGGGAGCGGGCUCUGUCAUUACCUUGCUCUGUCAUUAGAGAGGAGCCAUCGGCACUGCUGGCCUGCCUGUGUCACUCUACAGAGACAGCUACACUUUUCUCUCACACUGCUCCCUGUAUUUAUUAAAGCCACUGACAGCCUGCUGCUUCACAGACACAUUAGGAACCCUUUAACCCCUGACUGGAGCUAGGGAUGCUGGCUUACAGAAAUGCUCACUCCACUGGAGAUCAUCAGAAUGGCCUUUUCUUGCUGGUCCAGGUUAUCCAUUGUUGAAAUAGUGACUGGAUGUUGGUUACCAAGACAGAAGGCUGACCAAACCUACAUUUAAAAUCCUUUUAAACUGUGUUUUCACCUUUCUUCAUGCAAAAUCCUAUUCCCAUUAGUAAUUACAUUUACAAGUCUUCUGUGAAACAAACAUAUUAAUGCCAAAAUUAUCAUAUAUCAUGUUAAAGCUUCUGUAGUAUCUAUAUAGUUAUUAUAUUAUUGCACAUAUUGAAGUGGUACUCAUUAUGUAUCCAAAAGAUUAUCCUGCUUAAAAGGCUUUGGUUGAUUUGCUCAUGUAUGAUACUUAAGUAAAAAAAAAGAGCUGUUCACAUAUCAUUGUGAUAUAUGACUUAAAAUGACUAACAGCUAAUUGCUCUAUUACUGAGCUGGUGGCCAGUUUACAAGUUUAACCUCUACCUUUGAAUGUUAUAUUAAGGCUCUGCAUGACCUUUUUGUUUUUGACAAAAAUGUUUUUAAUGCUAGAUGUGAUAUGUUUAACAUCAAUCUAUUAAUCUGAAUAUAAAAAUAUAUACAUUUAUGGCUCAUUAACUUAAAAACACAGAAUUACUAAAACCUUAUGUCCAUGGUCUCAGUUUUUGUUCAUGGAGGAUUGUGACAUAUUUAUGAUUAAUUUUUUGUUCUAAUGUAACAGAAAUGAAUGUAAAACCUUCAGAAUCUCAGUCAAAUACAGUGUUGCAGUGCUUCAUCGAAGCUUGGUUGCAUGGUUGCAAGUAUUUGUUAGAGAUUUUUUUUUUUUUAAAUUUUAAUGUCUGCAUAUGUUUUUUUUUCUCCUCUUGAUAAUUUAACUAUUACUGGAA